Molecule: RNA transcript, 1070 nt
Organism: Arachis ipaensis
Lineage: Eukaryota; Viridiplantae; Streptophyta; Magnoliopsida; Fabales; Fabaceae
Gene: NPQ7
Gene name: antigen receptor-like protein (DUF565)
Source: RefSeq, a predicted model, not a curated record
UAUUGAUUUCCUAAGUUUUGGAGAAGAACAUUAUUAUUUUAUUAUUAUAUUAUUGUGUUACCCAAUCAGUGACAGUGGUUGCGGUUGUGGACUCCAUGCACCUCCCCGGCGUCAUCUUCUUCUUCCUUCUUCUCUCGAUACAAACAGGAUUAGGAAGAGACUGAGAAUUUGUGCAGCUGGUUCACAAUAUCUGUGUUCAUCUAUUAAAAAUGGCUUGCCAAAUAGGAUCUAUGUGGAGGUUAUCAAUUACAGAGAAUGGAUGCAUAGAAAAAUCGUGUAUGGCCCUCGCCAAUUCUAGAGCACACUGCUGUCGCUGCGAGCCAAGCUGUGGUAUUUUAGGUCUAAAACUUGGCCUAAAGUCAGCGCCAUUUCACCAGAGCUGUUUCCUUGGAAGAAGAGCCCGCUGGAAAAUAGCUUUUGCCUUGAACACAGGUGGAGUGCCUGGUGAUGGUGAUCAACAAGGCCUCGAUGAUUCCAGUUCCGGUUUCAGUGGUACUCGAUUGAGUAGGAUACUGAGUGCAGGUGGUAGACAACUUCUAGAAAAGCUGAACUCAGCUAGAAAGAACCUCCCCAUGAAAGUAUUCUUGCUACUUCUAGGUUUCUACACAGCAAAUGCUCUUGCUACAAUCCUUGGACAAACCGGUGAUUGGGAUGUUCUGGUUGCCGGUGUUGUGGUGGCUGCGAUCGAGGGAAUUGGUAUGCUGAUGUAUAAAAAGCCGCCUAGUGUGAGGACAGGGAGGUUUCAGUCUUUUCUUAUGAUGAUGAAUUUCUGGAAGGCUGGCAUAUGUUUGGGCCUCUUUGUUGAUGCUUUCAAGUUAGGCAGCUAAGGAUACCCAAGGCCUAUCCCUGUUGUUGUAUCAUGGCCCUUACGCAAUAUCUUCUGGUCCAAGAAGGUCAAUACCGGGCUUCAACUCCACCUCAGGUUGAUCAGUCUCUGCUUCUGUUGUAACAAAAGCAAUAAAUUUUCCUUUCGGGGCCACGUUGUGAGCAUAAGAGCAGCAGAAGAGAUACCUUCAAUAACAGGGGAAAAAUCAGAAAACUAGAACCUACAAAGUUGGAAGUUACAACAC